UCCUACGGGACGCAGCAGUGGGGAAUAUUGGGCAAUGGGGGAAACCCUGAAGCAGCAACGCCGCGUGGAGGAUGAAGGUUUUCGGAUUGUAAACUCCUUUUGUUAGAGAAGAUAAUGACGGUAUCUAACGAAUAAGCACCGGCUAACUCCGUGCCAGCAGCCGCGGUAAUACGGAGGGUGCAAGCGUUACUCGGAAUCACUGGGCGUAAAGAGCGCGUAGGCGGGAUAGCAAGUCAGAUGUGAAAUCCUAUGGCUUAACCAUAGAACUGCAUUUGAAACUGUUAUUCUAGAGUAUGGGAGAGGUG
This 305-nucleotide ribosomal RNA is filed under the name uncultured bacterium. RNAcentral describes it as "bacterial SSU rRNA". It matches the Rfam family "Bacterial small subunit ribosomal RNA", at positions 337 to 659 of the family's 1533-position model. The record is from RNAcentral.